GCGGUGCAGUGGUAGUAGCAUGCGUCCCCGGUAUGGAUGAAACGCGUGUUCGAUCCAAGCCUGAACCC
Molecule: non-coding RNA, 68 nt
Organism: Parelaphostrongylus tenuis
Lineage: Eukaryota; Metazoa; Nematoda; Chromadorea; Rhabditida; Metastrongylidae
Source: the annotation of a GenBank genome assembly